GGAUCUACUACGACUGAUGACACUGAUGACGCUGACAGAGAGAAUCUACUUUGAGAAGUUGAUGAAUCGUGAUGCACAAUAAUGACAUUAAAAUUAUUGUGCCAUGGAAUGAACUUGACAAACUGUGUUUUUUUCUCUUGCAUGACUCCAUGGGGAGAACCAAUCCCACUUGGACACGGAGGGCAUGCCUUUACAUGCACUGCACUCCCUCUAAUUGCUUGGGAAAAUACUUUUUGCUCCCCACCCUCCAGAUGACAUCACUUCGGAGACCCGCUCUGGAACUCUGCUCCGGGUUCUGGAAACAAGGGUGAAAACCACAGAUGUGACGUGCGUGAAACAUAUUGUGUGAGGAACAGUUCCCAAGAGAGAUGCAGAUGUCUGCUCUCAUAUGACUCCCAACAGCUCCAACACCACCACAGAGGCCUCGGACCUCAUCUCCUCUGGUCCACAUCGUCAGCGAGGGUUGAAGCAGGGACCAGAGUCGUGAGGGGGCGCAAGUCUGUACAUUCACCUGCUGUGUGUCUGUCGGGGGCGGCUCCAGCCUGGGGGAGACUCCUCAGUGUCAGGCUGCCAGCCCCCCCCCCCCUCUCUGAGGCGUCACCCUG
Molecule: long non-coding RNA, 605 nt
Organism: Scophthalmus maximus (turbot)
Lineage: Eukaryota; Metazoa; Chordata; Actinopteri; Pleuronectiformes; Scophthalmidae
Exons: 3
Source: RefSeq, a predicted model, not a curated record